AAUUGCUAGUAAUCGCGGAUCAGCAUGCCGCGGUGAAUACGUUCCCGGGCCUUGUACACACCGCCCGUCACACCAUGGGAGUCGGAAAUGCCCGAAGUCUGUGACCCAACCUUAGGGAGGGAGCAGCCGAAGGCAGGUCGGAUGACUGGGGUGAAGUCGUAACAAGGUAAC
This 171-nucleotide ribosomal RNA is filed under the name uncultured bacterium. RNAcentral's name for it is "partial 16S ribosomal RNA". It matches the Rfam family "Bacterial small subunit ribosomal RNA", at positions 1330 to 1500 of the family's 1533-position model. The record is from RNAcentral.